Molecule: unclassified non-coding RNA, 207 nt
Filed under: Hevea brasiliensis (rubber tree)
Lineage: Eukaryota; Viridiplantae; Streptophyta; Magnoliopsida; Malpighiales; Euphorbiaceae
Source: RNAcentral
CGAAGUUCCUUCCACCAUGACUGGAGUUCAGGAUCUUUACUGACCAUGUCAUCUGUCUCAUAGUAAAAGGAGCAAUAGUCUUUCACCCAUUCUCUGAUUGAUGACCAUAUCUCAAGCCCAUCAACAGCAUAGGGGUAGUCUUUCACCAGUAAGCGUAGACCGUGUGGAGAAUUAGGAUCUUCAACUGCCAUUCCUCUCUUCUUUAGA